This 450-nucleotide ribosomal RNA is filed under the name uncultured bacterium. Its description in RNAcentral is "partial 16S ribosomal RNA". It matches the Rfam family "Bacterial small subunit ribosomal RNA", at positions 338 to 795 of the family's 1533-position model. The record is from RNAcentral.
CCUACGGGUGGCUGCAGUGGGGAAUCUUCCGCAAUGGACGAAAGUCUGACGGAGCGACGCCGCGUGAGUGAUGAAGGCCCUUGGGUCGUAAAGCUCUGUCAUCGGGGACGAACGGCUUUAUCAGGAAAUGGGUAGAGAUUGACGGUACCCGAGAAGGAAGCCACGGCUAACUACGUGCCAGCAGCCGCGGUAAUACGUAGGUGGCGUUAGUUGUCCGGAAUUAUUGGGCGUAAAGAUCGCACGUGUGGUCUGAAAGUUCGGAGCUUAACUCCGUGAUGGGAUGGAAACUGAGAUUCUUGAGUAUCGGAGAGGAAAGCGGAAUUCCCCGUGUAGCGGUGAAAUGCGUAGAUAUGGGGAGGAACACCAGUGGCGAAGGCGGCUUUCUGGACGAUGUCUGACACUGAGGCGCGAAAGCCAGGGGAGCGAACGGGAUUAGAUACCCUUGUAGUC